Molecule: ribosomal RNA, 533 nt
Filed under: Trichoderma spirale
Lineage: Eukaryota; Fungi; Ascomycota; Sordariomycetes; Hypocreales; Hypocreaceae
Description: SSU rRNA
Rfam family: Bacterial small subunit ribosomal RNA
Source: RNAcentral
CUAACGGCUGAACUGGCAACUUGGAGAAGUGGCAAGUCCUAUUUUGAUUAUAUCUUUGAAUAUAAUCUAUAGGAUUGUAUUAAAAUUGAAUAAAGCUUUGUUUAUAUAUUGAUAAUGACAGUAUAUAUAUCGUGUCUUGACUAAUUGCGUGCCAGCAGUCGCGGUAAUACGUAAGAGACUAGUGUUAUUCAUCUUAAUUAGGUUUAAAGGGUACCUAGACGGUCAAUAUAGCUUCUAGAAUGUUAGUACUUGACUAGAGUUUUAUGUAAGAGGGCAGUACUUGAGGAGGAGAGAUGAAAUUCUAUGAUACCAAAGGGACUCGGUAAAGGCGAAGGCAGCCCUCUAUGUAAAAACUGACGUUAAAGGACGAAGGCACAGAGCACAAACAGGAUUAGAUACCCAAGUAGUCUUUGCAGUAAAUGAUGAAUGCCAUAGGUUAGAUUAAGAUUUAGUAUUAUAAUUUUAAAUUAAAUAUUAAACAUUAUUUGGUCUAUAAAUGAAAGUGUAAGCAUUUCACCUCAAGAGUAAUGUGG